RNAcentral lists this transfer RNA (84 nucleotides) under Actinomycetes bacterium. RNAcentral describes it as "Actinobacteria bacterium tRNA-Leu". It matches the Rfam family "tRNA". From Rfam's summary of the family: Transfer RNA (tRNA) molecules are approximately 80 nucleotides in length. Their secondary structure includes four short double-helical elements and three loops (D, anti-codon, and T loops). Lineage: Bacteria; Bacillati; Actinomycetota; Actinomycetes. RNAcentral also lists the same sequence under 1 other name. The record is from RNAcentral.
GCCCGGGUAGACAAACUGGCAAAGUCUGCGUGCUUAAAACGCGCUGCUCUUAGGAGCUUGCGGGUUCGAGUCCCGCCCCGGGUA